AUGCGCAGACCCGAAACCGGGUGACCUAUCCAUGUCCAGGUUGAAGCUGCCGUAAAAGGCAAUGGAGGACCGAACCCACAUCCGUUGAAAAGGGUGGGGAUGAGGUGUGGAUAGGGGAGAAAUUCCAAUCGAACCCGGAGAUAGCUGGUUCUCCUCGAAAUAGCUUUAGGGCUAGCCUCGGCAGAGAUACGUGGAGGUAGAGCACUGAAUUUCCUAGGGGGCGUCAAAGCCUACCGAAGAAUAUCAAACUCCGAAUGCCAUGAUAUUGCUUGCCGGGAGUCAGACUAUACGAGAUAAGUUGGAUAGUCAAAAGGGAAAGAGCCCAGACCUCCAGCUAAGGUCCCAAAGUGCGUGUUAAGUGGAAAAGGAUGUGGGAUCUCUAAGACAACCAGGAUGUUGGCUCAGAAGCAGCCAUGCAUUCAAAGAGUGCGUAAUAGCUCACUGGUCGAGAGGUCCUGCGCCGAAAAUGUCCGGGGCUGAAACACGACACCGAAGCUGAGGAAUCGAAAGAUUGGUAGAGGAGCAUUGCAUAAGGGAAGAAGCAGUACCGGAAGGAGCUGUGGACUUUAUGGAAGAGAGAAUGCCGGAAUGAGUAGCGAGAAUGAGGUGGGAAUCCUCAUGGCCGAAUAUCCAAGGUUUCCAGGGUAAAGCUGAUCUGCCCUGGGUAAGUCGGGGCCUAAGGCGAGGUCGGAAGACGUAGCCGAUGGACAACAGGUUGAGAUUCCUGUACUGCAGUAUGACAGAACUGUGGGGACACGUGUGGAGAGCAUAGCCGCGGAAUGGAAAGCUGCGGGCAAGCGAGGUAGGAGAUAUGUAGGAAAAACCGCAUAUCAAUCCGAAGGCGUGAUGCGGAGCGAACUGAAGUAGCGAAGUAUGUGAGCCAUGCGUCGAGAAAAGCCGCUAUUGUUCAUACUGUACCCGUACCGUAAACCGACACAGGUGGAUGAGGAGAGAAUCCUAAGGCCGGCGGAAGAAGCAUUGUCAAGGAACUCGGCAAAAUGACCCCGUAACUUCGGGAGAAGGGGU
Molecule: non-coding RNA, 1026 nt
Filed under: Blautia sp. An46
Lineage: Bacteria; Bacillati; Bacillota; Clostridia; Lachnospirales; Lachnospiraceae
Description: Bacterial large subunit ribosomal RNA
Rfam family: Bacterial large subunit ribosomal RNA
Source: Rfam by way of RNAcentral